Antechinus flavipes (yellow-footed antechinus) is the source of this 2472-nucleotide RNA transcript. It is a transcript of the gene named choline kinase beta, with no coding region annotated. Lineage: Eukaryota; Metazoa; Chordata; Mammalia; Dasyuromorphia; Dasyuridae. The transcript has 10 exons. The record is from RefSeq and is a predicted model, not a curated record.
UCCUCUAGGCUACUAUGAGGGAUGGAGGGGGGGGGGGGUUGCCUAUUCUGGGGUGCCAUGUACUUGACUGACCUCAUGCCCAGGAACAAACUCCCAUGGGAACAUCUCUGAAAACUUGGAUUCAAUCGGAGGAUUUCCCAAAGAAAAUUCUGCCCAACAAGUCUGAGAGAUAGGAUGGGGAGGAGAAGCCGGUGUGGGAGGGAAAGGGGAAAUGUGUGAAGUGGCUGCCCACCCCAUCCCCACACCCAGACCCAACCGGACAGGAUGAGACCGGGCUUGUGGGCGGAAGGAAACGCUGCGGUUUUCUCCUUCGGGAGAACACAGGGCUUUAGAGAAACACAAAAGUAGCCUCAGUUUCCUCAUUCGUCCAACGAGCCGGAGAAGGAAAUGGUAAACCACUCCAGUGUCUUUGCCAAGAAAAUCCCAAAUGGGUUGGCGGAGAGACGGAAAAUCUGAAUAAUAAUAAGUGCCUCCCAACGCUUUGCACUGAUUUGGGCUGUGUUCCAUUAUUUAUUGAUUUGAGUUAAGUUCUUUUCCCGGGAAAAUGGCUAGCCUUUGAGGGCGGGGAUCCGGUUUGCAGCCCCAGCGCGGAGCCUGGCGUGGGGAGAAGGAGACUAAAGACCUGUAGAACACCCCGAGAAACGACGCCGGUUCUCUAGAAGGUAGAGAGAUCAGCACCCCCUUUCUGCGGCGGAGCAAACUGAGGCCGAAGGGAAGGAGGCCCCUCGGCGCGAGGGGGAGGCGCGGGGGACGCACUGCAAAGCUGGGGGGAGGGGUUCCCCGGCUACCCGGUUCAUAAAAGGGAGCUGCCUCCUUCCAGCCCGGCAGCAGCCGGCCCAUUUUGCAUAGCCCGCAUCCGAGUCAUGAGGUCGAAGGGUAAGUGAUAAAGGCAGGGCUAGCUGCCCUCAGAGCCUCGGCUGCUCCGCCCGGGAUCGGAAGAGCGAGGCGCGUGGAUAGCGGGGCCAGGGGCUCGUGGGACUGGGACAGCCGCUCGCGGCCACCGGAGGACAGAGAAGCGGCUUUAACGGACAGGCCUAAGGGCGUGGGGCGGCCGCGAGGCGGGAGGAGGCGAGUGCAACAGAACGGCCCGAAGGCCCGGCAGCCGCAGGACCCGCAGCUACAGACCGGGGAGCGGGAGUGGGGGGGGCGGGAGGGGGGAGGCAAAGCCUGGGGCGGGGCCUGUAGGGGCGUGGCCGAACGGGCGGCGUGGCCUAUCAGGAGACGGCGCCGAAGGGAGCCGAGCCCGAGCGGACGGAGCCGAGCGGAGCCCGAACGAGGUGUAGACCAUGGCGGAGACAGGAGGCGGGGCCCGGAACCGGGCCGAUAUGUCCAUGGGGCUUAAGUGGUUCAAGAUGGACCGGUGCAGAUCUUCGAUAUCCGUGGAGGGCAAGCAGCACGCCUGGCAGUGGUGCCGGGAGUUCCUGGGCGGAGCCUGGCGCCAAAUCCAGGUCGAGCAGCUGCAAGUGAGCCCCAUAAGCGGGGGGCUCAGUAACCUGCUUUUCCGAUGCGCCCUCCCGGAGAAUAUACCCCUUGUUGGGGACGAGCCCCGGGAAGUGUUGCUGAGGCUCUAUGGGGCCAUUCUGCAGGGGGUGGACUCCCUAGUCCUGGAGAGUGUGAUGUUUGCCAUCCUGGCUGAGCGUCGGCUGGGACCUCGGCUUUAUGGGGUCUUUCCAGAAGGGAGGCUGGAGCAAUACAUUCCGAGCCGGCCGCUGGGGACAAACGAGCUGAAGGAGCCCAGGAGGUCGGCCGAGAUUGCUGUCAAAAUGGCCCGGUUCCAUCUGAUGGAGAUGCCCUUCAACAAGGAACCUCGGUGGCUCUUUGGGACCAUGGAGAGGUACAUGAAGCAGAUCCAGGACUUGAUUCCUCCCACUAAGACCAACGAAAAUCUGAUCCAGAGGUACCACCUGGAGGAAGAGAUGAGCAUGCUACGCUUUGUUCCCCACCCCUGGACCCCCCACCCCAAGCAAAGCGUGUCUCCCCACUGCAGAAAGCUUCUGGAUUCAACAGCCUCCCCAGUGGUAUUCUGUCACAAUGACAUCCAAGAAGGGAACAUCCUGCUGCUUUCUGACAAGGAGCCUGGACUUAUGCUCAUAGAUUUUGAGUACAGCAGCUACAAUUACAGGGGUUUUGACAUCGGGAACCACUUCUGUGAGUGGAUUUAUGACUACAGCUACGAGGAAUCUCCCUACUUCCUGAUGGAACCUAAAAACUACCCCAACCGGGAACAGCAGGUGAGGAUUUCCAUCUGUGGCUGCUGCCCAACACUCGUUCCUGAAGAGUUGGCUGAGUGACUUGGCUAGGGUCACGCAGCCUGGGUAGCCCGAGCCCAACUCUUCCCGGCUCUCACUGUGCCUUGCACGUAGCGGGCGCUCCGCAAAGCUUCAUUUCAUCCGAAAUUACCUGUCAGUAAUCCAGGGGGAUGAUCCUCCCUCCCCAGAAGAGCAGACUGAAUUGGAAGAGAAUAUGCUGGUG